AAUGAACGUUGGCGGCAUGGAUUAGGCAUGCAAGUCGAGCGAGAAGCCUUUUUUGCUUGCAUCAAAGGUGGACAGCGGCGAAAGGGAGAGUAACGCGUAGAAAUGUACCCCGAGGUCUGGGAUAGCUGUGGGAAACUACAGGUAAUACCGGAUAAUGUCUCCGGACCAAAGUUUUUCGCCUUGGGAGCAGUCUGCGUACUAUUAGCUUGUUGGUGGGGUAAUGGCCUACCAAGGCUCAGAUGGUUAGCGGGCGUGAGAGCGUGGCCCGUCUCACUGGGACUGAGACACUGCCCAGACACCUACGGGUGGCUGCAGUCGAGAAUCUUCCGCAAUGGACGAAAGUCUGACGGAGCGAUGCCGCGUGGUGGAUGAAGGCCCUCGGGUUGUAAACACCUGUCAGUAGGAAGGAAAUUUUGACCGAUCUACAGAGGAAGUCCGGGCUAAGUACGUG
RNAcentral lists this ribosomal RNA (451 nucleotides) under uncultured bacterium. RNAcentral describes it as "bacterial SSU rRNA". It matches the Rfam family "Bacterial small subunit ribosomal RNA", at positions 29 to 507 of the family's 1533-position model. The record is from RNAcentral.